This 322-nucleotide ribosomal RNA is filed under the name uncultured eukaryote. RNAcentral's name for it is "partial 18S ribosomal RNA". It matches the Rfam family "Eukaryotic small subunit ribosomal RNA", at positions 1470 to 1796 of the family's 1831-position model. The record is from RNAcentral.
CCCUUAGAUGUUCUGGGCCGCGCGCGUGCUACACUGAGUGGAUCAGCGGGUCAGGUUGCGCGAAAGCGUUUCCUAAUCUUUAAAUCCGCUCGUGAUGGGGAUUGACGGUUGCAAUUUUCUGUCAUGAACGAGGAAUACCUUGUAAGCGCGGGUCAUCAUCCCGCGCUGAAUACGUCCCUGCCCUUUGUACACGCCGCCCGUCGCUCCUACCGAUUGAGUGGUCCGGUGAGGCUUUGGGAUCUGAGCGGAAAGAGCGUUUCGCUGUUUCUGCUCGGAAAACUCAGUCGAACCUUAUCAUUUAGAGGAAGGAGAAGUCGUAACA